UUCUCAUCUUUUCCUUUGAUGUAAAAGGGUUUCACAUCUUAGUUUGUUUAGGCAACUUUCAACAUCCCUCUUGAAUUAACAUAUAUGGAAAAGAAGUUGACAAAACUAGUAAUAAGAACUAUGCUGCCUUAUGUUUUACAUUUUGAUGCAGCCAUACUCAUGAUUUACUGACCUGCUUUACAUUGUUGGCUGUUCCAGCCUUUUGCCUGUAUUUGUUCCUGUUUUAACAUUUGUUUUUAUUCUAAUCAAAACAGUUUUCCUGCACAGGAUCAUAUUAAUGACUGGAGAAAAACAGCACUUUGUUUAACAUCCAUUUUCUUUCUUGCUGCUAUAAUAUGGUUCAUAGAACACGUACUGAAGAAAUUGCUGGAUGUUGCACAUGGGUUUCAAAUGCUAAUAGACCCUAAAGGAGUGCUGAAAUGGUGACCACAUGCUAUC
This is a non-coding RNA of Arachis ipaensis, 438 nucleotides long. The record is from RefSeq and is a predicted model, not a curated record. Lineage: Eukaryota; Viridiplantae; Streptophyta; Magnoliopsida; Fabales; Fabaceae.